Molecule: ribosomal RNA, 509 nt
Filed under: Fusarium sp. EGY3
Lineage: Eukaryota; Fungi; Ascomycota; Sordariomycetes; Hypocreales; Nectriaceae
Description: SSU rRNA
Rfam family: Eukaryotic small subunit ribosomal RNA
Source: RNAcentral
CAUCAUGAUAAUCUUCUACGGAUCGCAGUGGCCGUUGCGGCCGGCGAUGGUUCAUUCAAAUUUCUUCCCUAUCAACUUUCGAUGUUUGGGUAUUGGCCAAACAUGGUUGCAACGGGUAACGGAGGGUUAGGGCUCGACCCCGGAGAAGGAGCCUGAGAAACGGCUACUACAUCCAAGGAAGGCAGCAGGCGCGCAAAUUACCCAAUCCCGACUCGGGGAGGUAGUGACAAUAAAUACUGAUACAGGGCUCUUUUGGGUCUUGUAAUUGGAAUGAGUACAAUUUAAAUCCCUUAACGAGGAACAAUUGGAGGGCAAGUCUGGUGCCAGCAGCCGCGGUAAUUCCAGCUCCAAUAGCGUAUAUUAAAGUUGUUGUGGUUAAAAAGCUCGUAGUUGAACCUUGGGCCUGGCUGGCCGGUCCGCCUCACCGCGUGUACUGGUCCGGCCGGGCCUUUCCCUCUGUGGAACCCCAUGCCCUUCACUGGGUGUGGCGGGGAACCAGACCUUUUACA